CCUACGGGAGGCAGCAGUGAGGAAUAUUGGUCAAUGGACGAGAGUCUGAACCAGCCAAGUCGCGUGAAGGAUGACUGCCCUAUGGGUUGUAAACUUCUUUUAUAUGGGAAUAAAAUGUUCCACGUGUGGGCUUUUGUAUGUACCAUAUGAAUAAGGAUCGGCUAACGCCGUGCCAGCAGCCGCGGUAAUACGGAGGAUCCGAGCGUUAUCCGGAUUUAUUGGGUUUAAAGGGAGCGUAGGUGGAUUGUUAAGUCAGUUGUGAAAGUUUGCGGCUGAACCGUAAAAUUGCAGUUGAAACUGGCAGUCUUGAGUACAGUAGAGGUGGGCGGAAUUCGUGGUGUAGCGGUGAAAUGCUUAGAGAUCACGAAGAACUCCGAUGGCGAAGGCAGCUCACUGGGCUGCAACUGACACUGAGGCUCGAAAGUGUGGGUAUCAAACAGGAUUAGAUACCCGAGUAGUC
This 460-nucleotide ribosomal RNA is filed under the name uncultured bacterium. Its description in RNAcentral is "partial 16S ribosomal RNA". It matches the Rfam family "Bacterial small subunit ribosomal RNA", at positions 338 to 795 of the family's 1533-position model. The record is from RNAcentral.